UUUGUUUCUUCUUCGUAACAUACAUUGAAAAAAACACCAGGCAUAAAAGAAAGAGGAGGAAAACACUCUAUUCUGAUCUUCCAUACUCACAAUACACCCUUCAUAAGAACACAAACAAUAGACACGGUAGAACACAUACACACAGCAACAACGAUACAUACACUGAAAUAGAGAGUGAAUUAAACGGAGAGAGGAGAGAGAUCGGCGAUUGAGAGAAACAACGAUAAGGUUUGUUCCAGCGACCAGAUCUCACUGGAGCUCCGGUAACAACAGAAAUCGGUGACCAACACUGCAAAAACAACUAAAACCGACAACCAAGUCCCAAACGCCGGUGAUUCUGUCAAAAAAACCCCCCAAACCAGAUGACCGAACCCCUUCUCGCAUCGAAAAACGCCAUGGACUCCACCGGCGGCAGCACUUUUUUUCGAAAUGGCUAAACAAAUCUAUUGCACACGAAAUUAGUGCGUUUUUUUUCUUUUCAUAACAUUUUAGGUCUGGAUUUGUGACGAAACCGAAACGGGUCAUAGCUAGUUGGAUUGGCAAGUUUGUGAUUGAGAUUUGACGUUGAGAUUCCAAACGGGUCGAGGUUCCGUUGCUUUGCUUUGGGAGUUUCAAUCUAUCAUUAGUUGUUCGAAAUAAAAGCUUUAAAUCGAGGUCCAAUUCUGUUCCUUCCCUCUUUUAUUUCAUUGUUUAUAUCUUCAAUGCAUUUAAUAGUUUAAGGUGUGUUGGUUGAUUUGUGAUGAUGUGAAUCGUUGUUUGUUUUGAUUCAGUGUUUGAUUUUCUUGAUUAUGGAUCAAUUAUGGGUUAUGUGAUGAAAUGAUACCUUAUUAAGGAUUAAAAUUGGUUAUUUAGGGUGGGAAUUGAAAAUUGACAAAGGUGAAUAUUGGUUAUUCUGAUGCGUUGAUGAUUGUUUAAGUCGGAGUAAGUAUUGACGUUUGUUAAACGCAACAAUAUCAUGAUGGGUUGAAAUUGGUAGACAAACAAUAGAUCGGGUAGGCAAAUUUAGGAAUUGUGAAUUGUUGAAUAAUUUGAAAUGCUUGUGGAAUGUUCUGUUGAAUGAUUCUGUUUUUUUUUUUUUUGCACUUAGAAAAUGUAUUCAUUUAGUCGGGGAAUGUCCUGAGUUCAUUUUGAAAAAGAAUUUUCAAAGGUGACUUGGCACACCCGAUUUAUGCCAAGUGGCGACUCUGAGUUUUGAAUAUAAAAAAUCUUUUUUGAAAUAAAUUUUCAUCUUUUUAUCACUUAAUAAUAAAAUUCUUUCAAACCUUAAAAUUGAUAAUCGUUUUGGUAAAAAAAAAAAGGGGUGUGACAGUAAGUACGGAUUCCAAAAUUUAAAAUAUAUUUCCUUCAAAUAUGACCAAGUGAGUAAAUUGCUUUUAGUUCUUCAAUAUUUAAUACAUUUUUAACAUGAUUUUUGGGAAAUUAAAGUUUAGAAAAGAAAAUCAAUUGAUAAUAAGACAUUUAUAACAAUGAAUAAACACAGCAAACUUUUAAUAUUAUAAUUGCUCAAAAUAAGAAUUUAUAUUAUAAAGUUAUUUGUAAAUUUAUUCCUCUAACACAACAAAGUUUAAUGCUUAACUUCUUUUUUAUUUUAUGUUUGCUCUUCUUUGAGUCUAGCAUUUUUCUAUUCAAAUUACUUUUGCUUAUGUUGUUAGUAUUAUUUUGUGUAAUUUAUUAAUUUUUGAAUCUGCAAUAGUUAAUUAUCUCAUUAAUAUUUUUAAUUGACUAAGAGAAUUAAAAAUAAGUUUGAAAGGAAAAUAAAUUCUAUUUAGAACAUCUCCUCCAAAUGCACAACUAUCAAAUCUCUAGAAAAAUUUUCAAAGUUAUAAAAUUUCAACAUAAAUCUCCAAGAAAUAAUUUUAGAUAAAUUUGUAGUAAAAACUCUCCCAAUAUUUCCUCAAAUAAUUACAUUCAUAGGUAAAUCCCCAAAGAAAAAUCCUCAGGUAAAUUUGCACCAACUAAGUUACCAAACAAUUUUCCAGGUAAUAAAAUCCCCAGAUAAAUUUUCAUCAAAAUAUCUCUAGGUAAAUCUGUAUGAUAAAUUACCUGGGGAGUUUUCUAUGAAAUAAAAAAGGAUUAAAAUUUUUUUUGCAGUUCAUAUACCUAUGGAUUUAUCUAGAGAUAAUUUCCUUGCCGAUAUGUUUCCCCAAGUAAUGUUGCAGAUAUAAAUUUUGCACAAAAUAAUGCCAACUUUACCUGUGAAAUUUAUUGAAAAUAUGCAUUCCACGGAUAAUAUAGUCUAAUAUUGAGGAAUUUAAAAAAUUCAUAAGAAAAUCCCCAUGAAUUACCUGCGAUAAUUUUUCCUAGGUAAAAUUUUCAUGUAUUUACAGUUUUCUUGUAGUUACUUGAGCCGAAAGUCUUUCAAAAAUAACCUCUUUACCUCCCCUCUACGUACACUUUACCAUCUGCAACUUCACUUGUGGGAUUCAACUAGGUAUGUUGUUGUUAUUGUUGAAGAAGGAUCUGCAUAUGGUGUUCAUUGACCUUGAAAGGGUGUACGACGAAAUCCCGAGGGAAGUUCUCUGGAGAUGACUUAAGGAAAGAGGUGUACCGGUGGCUUAUUUAGAGCGAUGAAGGACAUGUGUGAUGGAGCUAAAAUACCAGUUCAAACGACAGAAGGAG
Molecule: long non-coding RNA, 2619 nt
Filed under: Capsicum annuum
Lineage: Eukaryota; Viridiplantae; Streptophyta; Magnoliopsida; Solanales; Solanaceae
Description: long non-coding RNA (CANN_LNC018598)
Source: RNAcentral